UGCUCUUUCGAUCUCGAGCUGGUCCACGGUGUCUUGCGGGCUGUAAAAUGCAGUUUAAUCAGAGUGCCAUUUUUUGGUUGUUGUUCAAAUGAUUUUAAUCAUUGGAAUGCACAAUCUUUUUAAUAUGCAAAUUAAAAGUUUUAAAACCUGAAA
Molecule: long non-coding RNA, 153 nt
Organism: Aethalodelphis obliquidens (Pacific white-sided dolphin)
Lineage: Eukaryota; Metazoa; Chordata; Mammalia; Artiodactyla; Delphinidae
Exons: 3
Source: RefSeq, a predicted model, not a curated record